RNAcentral lists this ribosomal RNA (535 nucleotides) under uncultured Bacteroidales bacterium. Its description in RNAcentral is "bacterial SSU rRNA". It matches the Rfam family "Bacterial small subunit ribosomal RNA", at positions 110 to 642 of the family's 1533-position model. The record is from RNAcentral. Lineage: Bacteria; Pseudomonadati; Bacteroidota; Bacteroidia; Bacteroidales.
GUAACGCGUAUGCAACUUACCUAUCAGAGGGGGAUAGCCCGGCGAAAGUCGGAUUAAUACCCCAUAAAACAGGGGUCCCGCAUGGGAAUAUUUGUUAAAGAUUCAUCGCUGAUAGAUAGGCAUGCGUUCCAUUANGCAGUUGGCGGGGUAACGGCCCACCAAACCGACGAUGGAUAGGGGUUCUGAGAGGAAGGUCCCCCACAUUGGUACUGAGACACGGACCAAACUCCUACGGGAGGCAGCAGUGAGGAAUAUUGGUCAAUGGCCGAGAGGCUGAACCAGCCAAGUCGCGUGAAGGAAGAAGGAUCUAUGGUUUGUAAACUUCUUUUAUAGGGGAAUAAAGUGGAGGACGUGUCCUUUUUUGUAUGUACCCUAUGAAUAAGCAUCGGCUAACUCCGUGCCAGCAGCCGCGGUAAUACGGAGGAUGCGAGCGUUAUCCGGAUUUAUUGGGUUUAAAGGGUGCGUAGGUGGUGAUUUAAGUCAGCGGUGAAAGUUUGUGGCUCAACCAUAAAAUUGCCGUUGAAACUGGGUUACU